This is a non-coding RNA of Poecilia reticulata (guppy), 730 nucleotides long. The record is from RefSeq and is a predicted model, not a curated record. Lineage: Eukaryota; Metazoa; Chordata; Actinopteri; Cyprinodontiformes; Poeciliidae.
GAAGUGCUCAGUGUUUGCAGAAGUAAACAUGGAGGCUAACGGUGGAGCUUAGCUUACAUAUUUGAAGUUGUUGUCUAACCGGAGCAGCAUAUAGUCAGCAUUAUAGUCCGUCUUAGUUGUUUUUCUUCCCACUUGCGUGCAUCAGGACUCAGGAUUUGUUGAGUAUCAGAGACGUUCAGUUCGGAUGAAUGUGGUCUGGACGUUUGAAUUGGAUACGCAUCGGAUAUGGGUCGCAUUCGAAAACAAUCCAACCUGUACUUUUCAGACUGUCAUGAAAAUAUCUGAUACAGGUCGCAUUACAUCCCAGCCUCGAACAAUGGUCACUGAUAGAGUUCCCCUUGAGGCGUGCUGAGGGCAGCAGUUAGAAGCCACAUUAGGAGUCAUGUCACAAUGUGGCUCUUUGGGAUGAAGAAUGAUUAACUGAGGACUGAUGAACUGCCUGUGUCAGCCAUUACACAUGUGUUCCUGAACUCAUUCUACUGUUCAAUAACAAACUUGACAUGAAAACACCACCACCUGCUGGCUGGGAAGAAUUACUGCUAGCACAGCUGUGUUAUUCCAGUGAGGUAGCGUUACCACCCACAGCUGAAGACGCCCACUUCGGCAGCACAGAUGCAGCGUACAAACCAGGAAAUCAGGAAUAAAAAUGGUUGCUAUUCAGUUGAAGGAGAGAGGGGCCAGAAAGACUAAGAGUGCAAGGGAAGCAGCUAGAACGAGCAGGAGCUAUUAG